Molecule: non-coding RNA, 74 nt
Organism: Araneus ventricosus
Lineage: Eukaryota; Metazoa; Arthropoda; Arachnida; Araneae; Araneidae
Source: the annotation of a GenBank genome assembly
UGGCCAAUGGGGGGAUUGAACCCACAACCCUCGCGUUAUUAGCACGACGCUCUAACCAGCGGAGCUAACGGGCC